UAGGGAAUCUUCGGCAAUGGGGGCAACCCUGACCGAGCAACGCCGCGUGAGUGAAGAAGGUUUUCGGAUCGUAAAGCUCUGUUGUAAGUCAAGAACGAGUGUGAGAGUGGAAAGUUCACACUGUGACGGUAGCUUACCAGAAAGGGACGGCUAACUACGUGCCAGCAGCCGCGGUAAUACGUAGGUCCCGAGCGUUGUCCGGAUUUAUUGGGCGUAAAGCGAGCGCAGGCGGUUUGAUAAGUCUGAAGUUAAAGGCUGUGGCUCAACCAUAGUUCGCUUUGGAAACUGUCAAACUUGAGUGCAGAAGGGGAGAGUGGAAUUCCAUGUGUAGCGGUGAAAUGCGUAGAUAUAUGGAGGAACACCGAUGGCGAAAGCGGCUCUCUGGUCUGUAACUGACGCUGAGGCUCGAAAGCGUGGGGAGCGAACAGGAUUAGAUACCCUGGUAGUCCACGCCGUAAACGAUGAGUGCUAGGUGUUGGAUCCUUUCCGGGAUUCAGUGCCGCAGCUAACGCAUUAAGCACUCCGCCUGGGGAGUACGACCGCAAGGUUG
Molecule: ribosomal RNA, 550 nt
Filed under: uncultured bacterium
Lineage: Bacteria
Description: bacterial SSU rRNA
Rfam family: Bacterial small subunit ribosomal RNA
Source: RNAcentral